UACGUAGGGUGCUAGCGUUGUUCGGAAUCAUUGGGCGUAAAGCGCGUGCAGGCUGUUAGAUAAGUCAGAUGUGAAAUCCCUGGGCUCAACCGAGGAAGUGCAUUUGAAACUAUCUAGCUAGAAGAUGGUAGAGGAAGGUGGAAUUCCAAGUGUAGAGGUGAAAUUCGUAGAUAUUUGGAGGAAUACCGGUGGCGAAGGCGGCCUUCUGGGCCAUUCUUGACGCUGAGACGCGAAAGCGUGGGUAGCAAACAGG
RNAcentral lists this ribosomal RNA (253 nucleotides) under uncultured bacterium. RNAcentral describes it as "partial 16S ribosomal RNA". It matches the Rfam family "Bacterial small subunit ribosomal RNA", at positions 524 to 776 of the family's 1533-position model. The record is from RNAcentral.